AGGGCUAUAUUAAUAUCUAUUCC
This 23-nucleotide non-coding RNA is filed under the name Arabidopsis thaliana (thale cress). Lineage: Eukaryota; Viridiplantae; Streptophyta; Magnoliopsida; Brassicales; Brassicaceae. The record is from RNAcentral.